Molecule: ribosomal RNA, 496 nt
Filed under: uncultured bacterium
Lineage: Bacteria
Description: partial 16S ribosomal RNA
Rfam family: Bacterial small subunit ribosomal RNA
Source: RNAcentral
AUGAACGCUGGCGGCGUGCCUCAUCCAUGCAAGUCGAGCGAACAGACGAGGAGCUUGCUCCUCUGACGUUAGCGGCGGACGGGUGAGUAACACGUGGAUAACCUACCUAUAAGACUGGGAUAACUUCGGGAAACCGGAGCUAAUACCGGAUAACAUGUUGAACCACAUGGUUCAACAGUGAAAGACGGUCUUGCUGUCACUUAUAGAUGGAUCCGCGCCGCAUUAGCUAGUUGGUAAGGUAACGGCUUACCAAGGCAACGAUGCGUAGCCGACCUGAGAGGGUGAUCGGCCACACUGGAACUGAGACACGGUCCAGACUCCUACGGGAGGCAGCAGUAGGGAAUCUUCCGCAAUGGGCGAAAGCCUGACGGAGCAACGCCGCGUGAGUGAAGAAGGUCUUCGGAUCGUAAAACUCUGUUAUUAGGGAAGAACAAAUGUGUAAGUAACUAUGCACGUCUUGACGGUACCUAAUCAGAAAGCCACGGCUAACUACGUG